This 156-nucleotide ribosomal RNA is filed under the name Hymeniacidon heliophila. Its description in RNAcentral is "partial 18S ribosomal RNA". It matches the Rfam family "Eukaryotic small subunit ribosomal RNA", at positions 1681 to 1831 of the family's 1831-position model. The record is from RNAcentral. Lineage: Eukaryota; Metazoa; Porifera; Demospongiae; Suberitida; Halichondriidae.
ACUACCGAUUGAAUGGUUUAGUGAGAUUUUUGGACUGGAACUCUCUUGUUCAGCAAUGAACGAGAGGGACUCUGGGAAGCUAUUCUAACUGUAUCAUUUAGAGGAAGUAAAAGUCGUAACAAGGUUUCCGUAGGUGAACCUGCGGAAGGAUCAUUA